UAGGGAAUAUUGCACAAUGGGCGAAAGCCUGAUGCAGCAACGCCGCGUGCGCGAAGAAGGCCUUCGGGUUGUAAAGCGCUUUUCGGGGAGAAGAGGAAGGACAGUAUCCCCGGAAUAAGGCUCGGCUAACUACGUGCCAGUAGCCGCGGUAACACGUAGGAGCCAAGCGUUAUCCGAAUUCACUGGGCGUAAAGCGCGUGUAGGCGGUCUUACAAGUUGGGUGUGAAAGCUCCUGGCUCAACUAGGAGAGGACGUUCAAUACUGUGAGACUAGAGGACGGCAGAGGAAGGUGGAAUUCCCGGUGUAGUGGUGAAAUGCGUAGAUAUCGGGAGGAACACCAGAGGCGAAGGCGGCCUUCUGGGCCGAUCCUGACGCUCAGACGCGAAAGCUGGGGGAGCGAACGG
RNAcentral lists this ribosomal RNA (404 nucleotides) under uncultured bacterium. RNAcentral describes it as "bacterial SSU rRNA". It matches the Rfam family "Bacterial small subunit ribosomal RNA", at positions 355 to 775 of the family's 1533-position model. The record is from RNAcentral.